UGGGGAAUAUUGCACAAUGGGCGCAAGCCUGAUGCAGCCAUGCCGCGUGUAUGAAGAAGGCCUUCGGGUUGUAAAGUACUUUCAGCGGGGAGGAAGGGAGUAAAGUUAAUACCUUUGCUCAUUGACGUUACCCGCAGAAGAAGCACCGGCUAACUCCGUGCCAUCAGCCGCGGUAAUACGGAGGGUGCAAGCGUUAAUCGGAAUUACCGGGCGUAAAGCGCACGCAGGCGGUUUGUUAAGUCAGGUGUGAAAUCCCCGGGCUCAACCUGGGAACUGCAUCUGAUACUGGCAAGCUUGAGUCUCGUAGAGGGGGGUAGAAUUCCAGGUGUAGCGGUGAAAUGCGUAGAGAGCGGGAGGAAUACCGGUGGCGAAGGCGGCCCCCUGGACGAAGACUGACGCUCAGGUGCGAAAGCGUGGGGAGCAAACAGG
This 429-nucleotide ribosomal RNA is filed under the name Chloroflexota bacterium. Its description in RNAcentral is "Chloroflexi bacterium partial 16S ribosomal RNA". It matches the Rfam family "Bacterial small subunit ribosomal RNA", at positions 355 to 776 of the family's 1533-position model. Lineage: Bacteria; Bacillati; Chloroflexota. The record is from RNAcentral.